Molecule: ribosomal RNA, 233 nt
Filed under: uncultured bacterium
Lineage: Bacteria
Description: partial 16S ribosomal RNA
Source: RNAcentral
UAAUCCGACCUAGGCUCAUCUGAUAGCGCAAGGCCCGAAGGUCCCCUGCUUUCUCCCGUAGGACGUAUGCGGUAUUAGCGUCCGUUUCCGAGCGUUAUCCCCCACUACCAGGCAGAUUCCUAGGCAUUACUCACCCGUCCGCCGCUCUCAAGAGAAGCAAGCUUCUCUCUACCGCUCGACUUGCAUGUGUUAGGCCUACCGCCAGCGUUCAAUCUGAGCCAGGAUCAAACUCU